This 246-nucleotide ribosomal RNA is filed under the name Campylobacter sp. CH182. RNAcentral describes it as "partial 23S ribosomal RNA". It matches the Rfam family "Bacterial large subunit ribosomal RNA", at positions 138 to 405 of the family's 2925-position model. Lineage: Bacteria; Pseudomonadati; Campylobacterota; Epsilonproteobacteria; Campylobacterales; Campylobacteraceae. The record is from RNAcentral.
GAGAUAUACAUUACCUAUAUAGGAGCGAACGAGGGGAAUUGAAACAUCUUAGUACCCUCAGGAAAAUAAAUCAAAAGACAUUGCGUCAGUAGCGGCGAGCGAAAGCGCAAGAGGGCAAACCCAGUGCUUGCACUGGGGGUUGUAGGACUGCAAUGUGCAAGAGGUAAGUUUAGCAGAACAUUCUGGGAAGUAUAGCCAUAGAGGGUGAUAGUCCCGUAUGCGAAAAUCAUACCUUAGCUAGCAGUA